Molecule: small RNA, 534 nt
Filed under: Histoplasma capsulatum var. duboisii H88
Lineage: Eukaryota; Fungi; Ascomycota; Eurotiomycetes; Onygenales; Ajellomycetaceae
Description: Histoplasma capsulatum H88 hypothetical RNA
Source: RNAcentral
AUCCACACGUUGAGCCUUAAGGUCGUGACCCCAUGAUAUUGAGUUGAAGAGACUUUACUUUGACACGUCUAUAUUCUCGAUAUUGCUGUGGCUUUUCUCCUGCAUGAGAACACCUGUUGUAACCCCAACACAUUUUGCCCACUGAUUGAGUGGGGCCACAACGCCCCGCCUCCAGCUGGUGAGUGGGCACCAACAGACGAGACUCAUAUCCACCUCCCCAGAACUAAAGAUUGUCAGUUAGCCAAACAUUUCCAGAUGUUGCGGUCAGGAAAAUGAACACAAGAGGACUCCAAGAGGACCAACCAACCACUGCCAGGAACCUUGAACUCGGUUGAUCAUUAUUAAUCGAAUUUUGACAGACGCCCGAACAAGUUUUCACCGACUCCCACGUUUUCAUUUUCCAUUUUACGCUGUCCCCAGAUGCCGGUUUCUCAUCCUUUUCAAUUGCCAGCCGAUGAUGCAAGCGGCGAUGGCAAAGAAGUUACAUUUUAUUUUAUUUACUCCACAUUCUGCACCCGAACUGAUUACAACCGU